Molecule: ribosomal RNA, 429 nt
Filed under: Pseudomonadota bacterium
Lineage: Bacteria; Pseudomonadati; Pseudomonadota
Description: Proteobacteria bacterium partial 16S ribosomal RNA
Rfam family: Bacterial small subunit ribosomal RNA
Source: RNAcentral
UGGGGAAUAUUGGACAAUGGGCGAAAGCCUGAUCCAGCCAUGCCGCGUGUGUGAAGAAGGUCUUCGGAUUGUAAAGCACUUUAAGUUGGGAGGAAGGGCAGUAAGCGAAUACCUUGCUGUUUUGACGUUACCGACAGAAUAAGCACCGGCUAACUCUGUGCCAGCAGCCGCGGUAAUACAGAGGGUGCGAGCGUUAAUCGGAUUUACUGGGCGUAAAGCGUGCGUAGGCGGCUAAUUGAGUCGGAUGUGAAAUCCCCGAGCUUAACUUGGGAAUUGCAUUCGAUACUGGUUAGCUAGAGUGUGGGAGAGGAUGGUAGAAUUCCAGGUGUAACGGUGAAAUGCGUAGAGAUCUGGAGGAAUACCGAUGGCGAAGGCAGCCAUCUGGCCUAACACUGACGCUGAGGUACGAAAGCAUGGGGAGCAAACAGG